This 2389-nucleotide unclassified non-coding RNA is filed under the name Hevea brasiliensis (rubber tree). The record is from RNAcentral. Lineage: Eukaryota; Viridiplantae; Streptophyta; Magnoliopsida; Malpighiales; Euphorbiaceae.
GCUUACUGCCACUCUUUCUCAGUUUCUAUCUUCUUUCCCUCUCGAUUUCUCUGCCUUCGCUGCCUCUGCCUCUGCCUCAAUUGAUUCUCCUCUCUUUGUUCUCUGGCGUCAAUUGAUCCUUCUCAAGCCCAUUAUGCUCUUUGUUCAAAUACCAAUACGAAGAACCUCAGGCCAUCAGCAAUCUCUCUCUCGUAUUCCAGGCUUCCAGUAGCAGUCCAGCUACCUCAGGCCCUCUCUCUCAAUUUUUGCGGCGGCCCAAGUGAAUUGGGAAGAGCAGCUGCGUCAACCAAGCUGCUCGGUCCAUCUCUCUGCUCUCAGCUCUUUCGGUACAAUGUCCACAAAGCUCCUCUCUCUCUCUCCCUCUGUGAUAGGGUUUUGAGAUGUGACAUCGAUUUCUAUCAGUUAUAUGAAUUGGUUACUGCCUUCUAAUCCCUUUUCGUUUUGUUGAGAUGGUAAUUGCUAAUGUGUUAUGGGGUUUCUCGUUAAUUGCUAUGGUGUUAAUUGUAAGCAUUAGUCCUGUUUUCAGAAUAAAAAUCGAUCUUCUUGUGGUCAUUUUUAAGUCGAUGAGACUGUGUUUGCAAAUUCUAGAAGAGGAAUUGUAAACAUGAGCUCUACAUUAACUAAUGAUAAGAAAAAUAGAAGGUGAUAUUUCCAUGCCGUUGCUUAGCUAUUAGAAAAUUGGUUGAUGCAACUUGCUUGUUAUGAACAUUUUAUAAAUUUCUGAAUCUUUGUGUGUUCAAUCAUUUUGAAGGGAUUAGACAAUGAAAAUUGACAUGCUUUGACUGUCUGCAUAUUAUGCAGUAUGAAUUAAAGUUUGGAUUUUACCUAUCAUGUAGAAGAAAAUAAGCAAAAAUGAAUAUGUGUUUUUUACAGGACUUAAAGACUAAAAGACAUGUUCAAACCAGAAGGAUCUAUGGACAGGAUUUAUCAGUAACACAUUUUUAUUCCUCUCAUCUUUGAAGUAUCAUCAGAAGAUCAGAAGUGUUCAUCUUACACUAGAAAUACUUCCAUUAGGGAGUAUAAUGGUUUCUUCCAUGAAUUCUGUUUUGUUGCCUUCGUCUGUCAUCCUUCAGUUGCCGUCCCGCCAGUCCUCACCUCGUCAUCAGUUACAACCUCAGUACAUUACCACUCGUAGUGUCAGUCAUCGUUUUCAUUUCAUAUCUUCUCUUUCUUGCUCAUUUCCAUCCAAUUCACAUUGUUGCUUACAUGCUGACCAGUCAUCAAUUGGUGCUAUGGUUCCUUCAGAUGAGGGACCAGUAUCUGUAAUAAACUUUGAAGAUUUUAUAGAAAAAGAUUGGUCAUUUCUUGAUUAUGACGAAUUAAAUCCCAAAGAAGAGCAUAAACAAAAGAUUGCCCAGAUAAUUACUGCAGGAAGGAUUGAAGAGACUUCAAGGGUUUUGGUUUCAAUUGGUUCGGAAGAAUUUGUAGAUCAGUUGGUUGAUACAUCACCCUGUAGUCUGUUGCUUGUUGUCCAUGAUUCACUUUUUAUAUUGGCAUGCAUCAAAGAAAAAUAUGACAAGGUUAAGUGUUGGCAAGGGGAGCUGAUACAUGUGCCAGAAAAGUGGGCUCCUAUGGAUGUUGUAUUUCUCUAUUUUCUGCCAGCUUUGCCCUUUAAACUUGACCAAGUUUUCAGAAUGCUUGCAAAAUGUUGCUCACAAGGUAAUUGAGAAAGCCACCGAUAUGCCCAUUCUUCUUUUAAAUUGAUACUAUUUGAUAUCUCUAAAAAUGCCUUAUCAGAACUUUAGAGCUUGAAAAAAGUGAAACCUCAAACCUUAGGAUAUAAAGCUUUGUUUAAACCAUUAAUAUUCCUAUAUUUUAGGGUGUAAAGUCACCUUCAUAAGAUUGAUGCUGAAGACAUGAUUAUAGUCAUUCAGUUGCUUUACUUUGAAAUCUUAAGUGACUUUUUUCUUUUUAUUUUGAAAAUCUUUUCUCAAUUAUGGUGAGGUUUUGUUGAAGCUUAUUUGGCAUGGAAUUGUUUGUUUGAGGUUUUUAUUUCUGCUUAUUAUUUGUAUAGGUGCAAGAGUAGUCAUUAGCCAUCCCCAAGGGAGAGAAGCAUUAGAGCAGCAAAGGAAACAACAUCAAGAUGUUAUAGUAUCUGAAUUGCCUGAUAAGAUGACCUUGCUGAAGGUUGCAUCUGAUAAUUCUUUCGAGAUGGCUGAAUUUGUGGACGAGUCAGGAUUAUAUCUUGCUGUUUUACAGUUUUCUGGGGCAAAAAAAUUAGUUUUUUUUUUAUUUAAAUUUUGUUGUGAUCUUAUAUUAAAUUGAAUAGAAUCGAAUUGAUCAAAAAUUUAAAUUCAUGAAACUGUGUAGCGUACAAAUUUUAGCAUUUAGCUUUUGUAUUGUUCAUAUUAUCUGGUUCUGGAAGAAUUCUCAUGGCAUGCAGUUGGUA